This is a regulatory RNA element of Oceanobacillus oncorhynchi, 124 nucleotides long. It matches the Rfam family "FMN riboswitch aptamer (RFN element)". From Rfam's summary of the family: The RFN element is a highly conserved domain that is found frequently in the 5'-untranslated regions of prokaryotic mRNAs that encode for flavin mononucleotide (FMN) biosynthesis and transport proteins. This element is a metabolite-dependent riboswitch that directly binds FMN in the absence of proteins. NCBI's taxonomy places the organism in Bacteria, Bacillati, Bacillota, Bacilli, Caryophanales, Bacillaceae. The record is from Rfam.
UCCAAUCUUCGGGGCAGGGUGUAAUUCCCGACCGGCGGAAAUAGUCCGCGAACUGUAUAACGUUACAGUUGAUCUGGUGAAAUUCCAGAACCGACAGUGAUAGUCUGGAUGGGAGAAGAUGUCG